Long non-coding RNA from Carassius gibelio (silver crucian carp), 7308 nucleotides. RefSeq lists it as uncharacterized. Lineage: Eukaryota; Metazoa; Chordata; Actinopteri; Cypriniformes; Cyprinidae. The record is from RefSeq and is a predicted model, not a curated record. The transcript has 3 exons.
AACUGUUGCCCUCCCCAACCUGUUUAUAACAUUGAUACGCUUAAGGAAACACACUAGACUAGAACCUGGCGCAUUCGUUUUCGAAUGAAUGAUUGAUCUUUUAUUGAUCAGAAGACACCCGUUUAUUGAGACCGUUCUUUUUGGUGACAGGUGUAACUAUGUUGCUUAUGAGUCAAAGACCAGUUGCUUAUUAUUAUUAUUAUUAUUUAUUUUAUUUUUUAUUUUUUACAUUGAGUUAUGCAAUAUUACAUAAAAGUGGUGUAUAGAAAGUAAUUUCGUUUUCAAAUAAUAAUAUAAAAAAAAACACUUAUUUGUCCAGCCGGAUCAAAUCCAGUGUGAUGUAACAAAUAGGAAGGUCAUUUUGGUGUUUUGUGAUCGCCUUAGACUCUCAUGACUAUGUGUCAGGUCAUUAAAAAUCUGCAUUGACCCUUAGAUUAUAGACAACAGACAAGAUAAGCAUUGUGAAAAUUUGGCUGAGCUGAAGAAAUGUUGGUUUGUAUAUUACAGCUUCCUGGUUCCCAAGUUCCAUUCACAUCAGUUGUUCAAUGGAUCUGAUUUGUAUCAGAUAUAAGGAGACAAAGUUCCAGUGUGUGCUGGGCUGUGCUGAGGUAAUAAGAAGUGGUGGGACAUGCAUGAGGGGUUCACUGUUCUAACUGAAGAUGAAGCUGGUAAAGACAGGACCAUAUAGCUUGGAAGACUGUUACACAGGAGCAGCUCUAUUCUACAGCUCUGAGAGAAGACACUCCACUUACACAAGUCAUGACUGUGUGGAGGUAGCCAGCGGUCAGCACCUUAAGAACAGAUAUAUCCAUGACACUCAAACUCUGUUCACUUUCUCUUUAAACGAGGGAAAGGAAACAGACCCAAGUCUUCCAAAUUAGCUCUGCAAAUAUUUGCCGGAAUGGGGCUAGUGGUUUUGUGCCCAUUUCAAAAGCAAAUUUAACAGACAUGGUGUUUGGUGUUGAUUUAUUUUUUUAUUAUUUAUGUCUGUAAAUAUCAAAGUAUUUUAGGUUUGUUGGUUGGUAUGUCCUCAUUUGGAACAAGGAGUAAAAGAGUGUAAUUGAGCGGAUGAGGAAAACACUCUUUCAAUCAAACUCACUCUCAUUUUGACCAUUUGGUACAGAUUAACUGGACCAAUCCAUCCGUUCUCCAAACCUCUUGACCCAUGCAGGAUCACAGGAAAUCCAACAAGCCAGUACAUCAGAGGGCUAACAUAAAUAGACAUACAUAUAUUAAUUCACAUCUAUUGGCAUUUUUGGCUCUGUAAUUCACCUGCAUCACUUUGGAUUGUGGGGAAAACUGGAGCAGCCAGAGGAAAUCAAUGCCAACACAGAUAAAACAUGCAAACUCCCCACAGAAAGGCCUCAUUGCUCAGCAGGGAGUCCCAGGCUGUGUGGCGACAGUACUACCCAAUGAGCCACCAUGCCGCCCUGUAUCUGGACCAUUAAUCUAAAUAUAUUCUUGACAUGAAAUAAGCACUUCAUGAAUUACAGUCACCAAAGUCUUAAAAAAACUGUGUCAAACUCUCCUCUAAACUUGGUGACUAACUUCCACUAGCUCACCUUCCACAGAUUUAAUUUACAGGUACUGUAAAGUCCCAUGGAAACCAGGUAUGUGUGAGCAAUUCCAGCAUGCAUAAAUGGAAUGCAACUUGUUUUUAAAUUUUUGCAUCUUGACUAUGAAAGAUCACAGAGACACAAUUACAGAGUGUGUGGAUCCCACUGAGCAUGUCCUCUUCCCUUUGAUGGAUGUAAAUAAAGACAUGGCUCCUUGCAGGCCUGCCUAUUGAACUUGGCUGUUGACAAUGCCUCAGAAGUGGUCAGAUCCAGUCAGAAAUCCCUCCUGCCCUCAAGAAAAGAGCCCACGUCCUUAAAGGCAACGCAGCAGUGGCUGUUCCCUGUCAACCGGGCGAUGGCAGUGGUUCAGUCACCAACCCAGGCUCUUUUAGUGAGAGUCCAUUGAUGUAGCAGAGUUAUUAAUUUGCCCUGUGAAAUAAGAGGACACCCGGGCCAAAACAGAGGGAGAUGGGUGCCUUUCAAAUAAUGCCAGCCAGGGAGCCUUUCAUCUGCUGUCAUUGGGGUGAGUGAACUGGGUCUGCUGGGUUCUCACAUGGGCACCAGUGCUACCCACGGAACUAACCAACAAAGGGUGGGCAGGAGAGACAGGGAGAAUGAGUGCCGAGGGGGAGGAGGAGAAAGAGAGAGAGAAAGAGCGUGGGCAACUUGGUGUUUCUCCACUAUUAACUGGUAAACAACUCUGUUUUUAGUUGUUUUCGUUCUUUGGAAUGGCGUACUUGUGGAUUGUGGUGGGAUUUGGUGUUCUGUGAGCCACUCUUUCAAUCCCCUGAAGGUAAUAGCAGCUUUUUCCCCCUCACCACUUCCUGCUGUCCCUAAAAACUUCAGGGGAAAGAGGGGCAGUGCCCUCAAACUGCAUGAUAAACUAUGUGGGGUCCUAACACCCCCCCUACUCCAGCAAUUCUCUCUACGUUGGAAGCCAAAGGCAAUUUUACAAUUAAACACUCUUAUAAAAUUGCAAAGGAAAAACCUUUAAAGAAAAAAUGUUGCACCUUACCUACCCUUAAAACAGGGAUACUGAAUUCUGCUCCUGGAAGGUCACUAUCAUGCAGAGUUUAGUUUCAAUAAUAAUCCAAUUGGAUCUAAACUCUGCAGGACUUUGGCCCUCCAGGAGCAGGAUUGGACAAUGCUGCCCUAACCGUUGCAUAUUAGCACCUUAGAUUACCCUUAAAGUACUACCAUGAACCUUUUAAGUUUAAAUAAGGUACAAUCGCUUUGAGGGUACUGCCUUAGUGACAAGCUUCGUUUUUUGCAGUUUUUCUCAGAGUGAAAGGUGUGUCCCAUUUUGCAAACUUUUACACUGUUCUGCGCCACAUUGUAGCAAAAUAGUGUUAGUGUGUUAAAACACAUGAGAAAGUGCAACAUUUGAGACAACACUAUCUUUCUAAAAUUCCAUUAAUUAAUUAAUUUAAUUAAUUAAACCUGUUGCUCAUGUCAUUACAUGACAUGGUGUGUAGUUUAGGUGCACAAUCUAUAAUAUAUCAUUUACGACAGAACUUUUGUUAAGGGCACCUGAAUCCCAACUUCACUCGAAGUCUCUGGAGGCCUCUGUUUUGAUUGGAGCAGAGAUAGAAGAUGUCACUGAAUUCAUUCAUGCAUGCAGAGGGCUGUGCAAUGUCAAUGUCCAAUUACUCCAUUCCUCCACAUGCAGUGGAGCACGAGGAGUGGUUGGGGCAGUCACAGCUGGAGCAAGCAGGGAAAAAAUAAUACCAGAGAUGUAUAAAAGCAGAGGCUAAAAGCAGCCUGAGCUAGCCGCCUGCUAAAAAAACAAAGCACUGCCCAGGGGACAAGCACAGGGUCGGGCAGUGUGGACCGGACUCGCCACAGCCGCGACUCCACACGUUAGUGCUGCUGCCAAAUGGCUGUAAUUGAGGCCUAAAGUCAAGAGCCCUGAAUAACUCAAUGCAUCAAUAGCAGCCUGUGGGACCUCCCCCCUCUAUGGUUCUCUUUACCUUCAUUACCGACCUGAAACCUCAGGUCUCUUUUUUUUCCACGGAUGAGCUGAAACCUCAAUCACCUCCAUGGCUGUGAUGACCUUUACUCUUGGCUGAAUAUAUGAGAUGAUGGGAUGAAAGUGGGUUUCAGUGUUUCUGUUUCUAGAAUAACCUCUUUUGAAACUUUCUUUUGUGUUUGGGAUUAAGGAAUUUUAACUCAUGCAGCGUGUUUUGAAGCCCACUUCAAAUAUAUUGCUUAUUCAUACACCAGAAAUUAGUUUAAGAUGUCACUCUGAUUAUGGCCUAUCCUAAAAGAACCCGAAAGAAGUCAAAGCUGUUUGUGAUUCACAGGGAUCUUAAUAACGAUAAACGUAGUGAUCAUUAUUUUGAUGAUUGUCCAGUGUUGUUUUGCUUAACCGAUAGCUGUCGAGGGAUCCAUCCUAAUGGCAGCGUUUAAAAUGAAGUAGGGCACAUGCUGCACAUUUCUGCCUGUUUAUUGGUUCUACUGGGUUCUUCUCUCAGGCUUCAGAGGCCUGGGCUGCUUUUUUCCUGCACGCAUGCCACAGCUGUGGUCACUGUGGUGAUGUUUCACUGCUCAGAAUGGAUUCACCAGCUCAAAAACGUUCUUAUUAUAUUUAUAUUUUACUAUACCGCUGCUGCCCUCGCCAGCUGUGUACUGGCUAACAGCCUGUUUCCUUUAAAUAGGCUGUGACAAUAUGAUUAAACAGCUAAAAUGAAGGUAAACAUCAACAUUCAGUGCCCAGUAUUGACAUAGAGCCCACAAGCAAAAAAGGCUGGAUUUUAGGCCUCAGUUUUUGCUGAGAGGCAAGACUGAGGUAAAAGGCAAUAGUACAAUGAUUUCUCAGUGAGCAGGAAAUUAAGUUUGAUAUUAUGUCAGAAGCUGUCAAGCUUGUUUAAUUGUACACCUGCCAAUGCAAAUAUUUCUGCACUUUAAAGUAAUCAUUCAAGCAUCCCAAGGUUGGAUUGAUCUUCAUGAAACUUAUGGAUCUAUUCAUGGAUUUUUGUUCUGAAAGGUGGUGCUUGAAGAAACACAGAGGAAGAGGACAGAAAGGAUAGAGAGGUGAGAGGGAGACUAUUGCGCAAUAACGCAAGUGAAGAAAAGACCGAACAGAUCCUGCGUGUCCAUGUUGUACGGGUUUGUCUCGUGAUCUACUGUGGGAUGCCACUGUCACCCCGGCUGUGGCAAGCUGCUGUGGUGCUGCUUCAAGCUUCAAAGACUGUAGUCCUGCCCGCAGCCCUAAUUAGAGGGUGCCUGCUUGGAGCUGGGGAUAAGCUAGCGGAACGUGUGCGCAAGUGCACACACUAUGCUUCAGCAGCAGUAGGCUGACAUGGAUGAAGGGAAGGGAUAGCAUCCUACUCUCAUCUGUCUCAUAAUAGUCUCUCUUUCUUUAUAUCUGUUUGUAUCUCUUUCUGUCAAUCCAUGGCACAGGCCUGGAAGGAAACCUUUAGUGCUGUAGAUGUAGCCUAUCUGCGACUGUAGCUGUAGGGAGUCUGGGCCUCCUGUCUGUAUAUUUCUCUAGGCCCCUCACCUUUUUUAAGACAAGCUUGGACGAAGAUGUGUUAUAUGUGCUUUAUGCAAAUGACCUGAAAAAAAAAAAAAGAGUAAAUGUAAAUUACCCAAAUUAAAAUCUUGCUUGUGUAAUUUUCCAAUUCUACCAAUAUUACAAUAUUAAAAUAAACUUUCUUUAAAAGUAAUUUAGAUUUGCGUUGUGUUGUGUUUCUACAUUGCUUCUGUUUUCAGUCUCCUUCCUUUCUUGUCUUUUAUGGUGAGCAGAUUUUUGUGUCUUUCCUGGCAGUAUGACUCGAUCGGCAUAUAAAACUUCUCACCUCUCGCAUUGUUUUUUUUUUCUUUUAUUGUGGCUUUAAAUUUAUUAUUUUACUGGAUCCUAAAAUCAAUCCUUUUGGUAAUAAUGUGGGUCUCCUUGGAUCUGUGGACCGCAAGAAUCAUUCCCACAUUUCUAGGAUAUAGUUAGUUUUUGGUUAAAAAUACCUGGAUGUUUCCUCAGUGUAAUGAUUUAGUGGACACCAGAGGAUUACUGCAACAUUCUUUCAUCAUUCCACAACUCUUAGCCAUUAGUACACACUGUGACGAUGAAUCAGUUCAUUAUCACGGCCACAUCUCCUCCUGGACUGUUAAAUGCUGCUUAUGAUCGGCACAGCAACAUAGUGGUCCUUUUUUGCUAAUUUUAACCUCUUCCCUGUCUGUCUUCAGGUCCCCUCACAUUCCCUGUCUCACCUAUAUAGGGAGGGAGACCCACAGGCCUGCAGUAUAGCUAAUCCGACCAUAGAAACACCCUUCCUGGACAAAAUAUACUUCAGAGAAGUGUAAAGAAGAGGAAAAAGUUAAAAGCAUUAUAAGAGAACAUGAUGAGAAGAAUGAACAAGAGAUUGAACAAGAGGGGAAAUAGUGAGAGAAGAGAUAAACAGAGAUAACCUGACACACAAAAGGAUAAACUGAGGGAACUAUUCCACAACACAGUAACAUUCGAGUCUAUGAAUGCACGUGGAAAGGUCUGGAGAUGAAAGGUAUAGCCUGAGUGAGGCUGAUCAGUGAUGUUAUAUGAGCGAGAGCCAGAGUCACUUGCAUCGCUCAGCACUCCGGCCCAAAAGCGCACAUUCCCACAUCCCAGUGCACCACUUUAAAGAGUGUCCCGGCUGCUCUGGUUCGCCACUCCCUGAGGAACUGCAACUCUGAAAUGGCAAAUAUCAAUACAUUCAUUAUGCACUUUAUAUUUAUACAUUUAUAUUCAUGCUUUUAUAUAAUCCUUGUAUUUUGCUGCUAAUAGUAUUUUUAGAGAGGAGAUGCAAGGCCGCACUAGACUGGCACAGAGACUAUAUGUUUGUCGAGUGGGUAUGCAAGACAGACAGAGAGAGAGCGAUUUGGUCGGCUGUGGUUUUUAAAGGGCAAAAGCAAUGGGCGCCCUGGUCAGUUCAGAGCACAGCUGUGUUGGAAAGAAACAGCCUCGAUCCAACCCAGCUGUGGCUGCUGGUGUGCUGCUGGCACGAGGCAUAUUAACCCAUCUGUAACAACCAAUGAGCUUUUCACACCGCUUAAAAACUAACCAACUAAUGGCAUGAGAUAUUUGUCAGCUGAGAGUAAAAUGAAUACAAAAAGGCUUUGGCGAGUAAAUAAUGUGGUUUUAGAGCCAAUCAACUGGUUAACCGUAUUAUGGAAUAGUUCACCCAACAAUGAAAAUUUGCUGUUAAUUUACUCACCUUCACGCCAUCUGACUGUGUGAACUAUGCCUGAACCAGAAACUGAACCAUAAUAUAUGAUUACAUCGAUUCAAGAUCAAAAAUCAAUUAUAAUAAUUCAUAAAAUGGCUCUGUGCAUGGUUGCCUCAGUUUGUAGCCCCUUGGUACUUUUACUAUUAAAUAGUAAUUUGUUUGCAUGUCCUGUUUUAACUAACUUUUUUUCCUAUACGCUUUACUAUGGACAAACUCCUAAACAUCGGAAACAGCACACCAAAUGCAUUUUUGCCAAUGGAAGCAUUCAGACAUUGUCUGUAUUUUAUUCACAUAUAAUUAUUUUUUAUUAUCUGUGUUGUUGUUGUCUCUGUGUGCUGGAUUCCUACAAAUUACUUAUAUGUGCAAUCAUACUUGGCAAUAAAGAUCUUUGUGAUUACAAAUUAUAAUCUGAAUCUCUACAAACCUAAACAUCACCAAAACAUCACUAGACAAAAAUAUCUUUGUUUAGUCUUCACAAUUUUUGACAGGUUUUAACCAGGAAGUAACGUAAUGUUCCAAUACCAUUUCAUAGUGGGUAAGACAUUUUAAUG